Molecule: long non-coding RNA, 5304 nt
Organism: Gordionus sp. m RMFG-2023
Lineage: Eukaryota; Metazoa; Nematomorpha; Gordioida; Chordodea; Parachordodidae
Exons: 5
Source: RefSeq, a predicted model, not a curated record
AAAAAACGACGGAUUCAGUUCUUAGGCCACAUAAUAAGAAACUCUGAUAAUAACUUAGUCCAUGAUGCCAUUACAUGGCUGUACUCAUAUAAUGGAAAACAAUACACGAAAUACAAAACAUUAUGGUAUUAUAAAACAAUAAAAGAUAUAAUGGACCUAAAUGUGAAUAUAAAACAAUUCAUUAAACUGAAUAAUAAUAAAAGAUCCAUUAAAAAGAUGUUUCGCAUCAAGAAAAGUUACCUCUAAUAUGUAUAAAAAUACAUCUCAAAAUUCAAGAUUCACUAUCAUUACCCAAUAAUCCCUAUCUUAUAAUUCCUAUCGUAAUAAAUUUCAAAAAUUAUACUCAUUAUUAUCAAAUAUUUCCAAUACCAACAAACACUCAAAUCCUCUUACAUUGACUUCCGUUGAAUGGUUGAAUACUUUCACAUAACUUAAAACUCUAGCUAUGAAUGAUUGGAAGUCAUUCCCAAUUCAAAAUCUCGACUUCUCAUGAUUGGUGAGCAACUACACAUAUCCAUAGCUCUUCGCCUUUCCUGUAAAGCAGUUAUAUCCUCUAUUUACAUAGAUUGUGCUUAGUCCAAAUACCUAGCAUACCCUGAACUCCUGCGAACGGCAACCCAUUAAUACGAACGGUCUCCCACGUAUCACAAAGAAGAUAAAUUACAAAGGAAGCAAUGACCAGCGGCUACAUGGCAGAAAAUUUGAUGAAGGCAAACCCCUAGGCUACAUUAACCCCUCUAAAAAAAUUCCGCGCUCUUUAGCCGCGAUAUUCACCAAACCACGAUGCUAUAGUGAUAUCAAUAAAGAAAAAAUCUUAUAAUAAGCUAACAUUGAUUUACAACAAAAUUUUAUUUACAUCAUUUUAGGCCUAUUUAGGUUAGAAAAAUCGAUUAAAUCUCUAAUUCUUGCUAAUAAUCAAUUGGCAAUCGAAAAGCUGUUUGGGUCACACCAUAUGGAUUGAUCACUGAAUGAGGAGAAAAUAUAAUCUGGGAAUGUUCAAUAACUUUGGGUGUUUGCUAAUUAUUAAAUAAAGAAUAUAGUUAAAAUUUGUUUAUCGAAUAUCUUAUUUUAAUUAAUAUAAUAUCUAAAGUAUUUGGAAAAAAUUUUUAUUUGAUUUAUUAUAUUCUUACUGAAAUUUAUUAUUAAGUUAAUCAUAUAUGUUAACAUCUAUACUUUUUAAAAAAUUAACAAAUAAGAAUAACAUUAAUAUUUUACAUGUGAAAUCGUAAAAUGUCAUGGUAAAAAAAAAUUAAUAAUAAGGCAAAAUAAUAUUAAAAUUAAAAUAUAAAAUAUAAAAUAAAAUAAAACAUUAUAUUAACGGGGGUGGGACUACAAGUUCCCAAAAAACAUGUUGAUAUGAUAGUAAAGAAUAAUUGCUAAAAGGAUUAUAUUUGAAAUUAAAAAUUUAUAAUUUUUUAUUAUUUGUUAAUAGACAGAUCAGAUCAAUUAUUGAAUUUGAAAAGAAUAUAAUUAAAGUUAAAAACCACCCUCCAAAAACCUACAUAAUAUUUAAACUGUAGGCUUUUGGAGUAAUCUCCUUAGAUUAUGAUGGUAUACAUUGUAUGAAGCCUAUAACUUGUUAAUAAUACACUGGAGGCAAUAUGGGCCAAAGAAUGCUCUUAUUGGUAAGCCAAUGUAUAUGAAAAGUAGGUUGGAAAAUUAUAACGAUACCAGUUAUUUAUUAUAUUUUUUUUAGGAAUAAAUUGGUUUUUGCUAUCAAAUAUUAUUAGGUCUCCUUUAUAGUUAGCGCAACAUCGCAUAGCUCUGCUUUAAUUUAAAAAUACAUUAUGUUAGAUCAUACCACUAUACUAUUUUUAAUUAAGCCGGCGCGCCAAAUCUUAUGAUUGCUCUCGUCCUCUCUACGUCCCUUACUCUCAGGACUUCUAACAGAACAGUUCUUCUAUGAUAUAUUAUCAAUAAGUGUUAGGUUUAUUAUGUUAGAGACUUUACUAUGAAAAUAUUUAAACUUCUCAAAAGUUUGACAAAAAUUAUUAACAAAGCAAAAUGACAAGAUCUUGCAAAACAUCGUUUACAAAAAAAAGCAUAUAAAUGACGUAAAAGUCAUGAAAAAUGAUGUAAUCUAAUUACGCAUAAAAAUUUUAGAAUUAAGCAUCAUUAUCUAAUUUUUAGUUUGUUAUAAUAACGAUUUUUUUAAAAAUUUUAUACUAAUUAAACUUUUCAGCAAUCUAUUCAAUGGACAAAAAAAAGAGUAAUAUAAAUCCUAAAGGUAAAUUUUAUUUGUAUAGAUAACAUUAUGUUGAAGGAGAGCGUUUUAAAAAAUUAAUUAACAUUUUAAUUAUAUCGCAUUUAAUUUUUUUUUAUACAAAUAGCCUCCAUUCACAAUGGUUCUAUUCCUAGACCAACCCCUAAAAGAGGGCACCCAUAUAUGAAUCCAAUUAUUAUGGGGUAAUCAAAUAUUUUAAAUGUAAUCUAAAGGAUCCUAUAUAAUUAGAUAUUUGUGAGGAGGUAUUAAAUAAUUAUUUUCGCCAAAUUUGUGUAUAAUAGCUAAGUAAAACUAGCCAUUAAUAUUAGAUUAAGUCAUUUAUUAGAUUAAAAAAAUGUCAACAUAUUGGAAUAAAAGCGGUGUAAAUUCCUGAUUUCGUGGUUAUAUUUAAAAAAAAAAACUUUUUGAAGUCUUAUGGGAAAAAGUGAUCUUUGAAAAGGCAAGUUGGGCAAGAAAAAAAUAUAUACUUAAAGACAUAGACAUUUAAAAAAUAUAUAUUCUCAAUUAAAUUUUUAGAAAUCUCCUUUGCAUUUGACAAAACACCAAAUUAUCGGCGAACGUCGAUUCCCCGUAUAUCCCAAUAUAUUUUGUCUUUAAAUAUAUAUUUUUUUUCUUUCCCAACUUGCCUUUUGACUAAAAUAAAAACAAACCCUAAAAGAUCCCUCAUUUAAAGACUUCAAAAAGUCUUCCUUUUUUUUUAAAUAUAACCAUGAAAUCAGGAAUUUACACCACUUUUAUUCCAAUCUAAUAAAUGACUUAAUCUAAUAUUAAUCGCGAGUUAGCAAAAAUAAUUACUUGAUACCUCCUCACCAAUAUCAAAUUAUAUAGGAUCUUUUAGAUUCAAUUUAAAAUGCUAAAUUGCCCACAAUAACUGGAUUCAUAUAUGGAUGCCCUCUUUUAAAGGUUGGUCUAGGAAUAGAACCAUUGUGAAUGGAGGCUAUUUGUUUUUAAAAAAAUUUUAGCGAUAUAAUUAAAAUGUUAAUUAAUUUUUUAAGACGCUCAUAGGGACUAUAUUAUUUUUUUUUGCCAUUGAAUAGAUUGCUGAAAAGUUUAAUUAGUAUAAAAUUUUUAAAAAAAUCGUUAUUAUAACGAACUAAAAAUCAAAUAAUGAUGCUUAAUUCUAAAAUUUUUAUGCGUGAUUAGAUUGUUACAUCAUUUUUCAUGACUGUUACGUUGCAUUUUUGUAAAAGAUUACAAGAUCUUGUCAUUUUGCUUGGUUAAUAAUUUUUGUCAAACUUUUGAGGAGUUUCAAUAUUUCCUUGGUCUCUAAAGUCUCUAACAUAAUUAACCUAACACUUAUUAAUAAUAUAUCAUAGAAGAACUGUUUUGUUCGAAGUCCUAGGAUCAUCGAGAGUAAGGGACGUCAAGGGGCGAGUGCAAUCACAAGAUUUGGCUUGCCGGCUUAAUUAAAAAAAAUAUAGUGGUAUGAUCUAACAUAAUGUAUUUUUCAAUUAAAGCUGAGCGAUGCUAUGCUUUAACUAUAAAGGAGAACAGCAAAAAUCAAUUUAUUCCUAAAAAAAUAUAUAAUAAAUACCUGGUAUCUUUUUAAUUUUUCCCAAUGGGAAUCCAACCAUCGACCAUUUACUUAUUUAAUAACAUACAUAUAUCUUUCUCUCGGAGCUACACCUUUUAUUACAAAGUCGUUAUUUAAUAUUAAUUUAAUACAAAUUAUUUAUCAAAUGUUAAAUUCUUUUUUUAGUCACGUCAAGCCGACCUGAACUGACCCAUUAAUAUUUUUUUCUGACCCGACUUUUAAAAUAAUUUUUUACAACUUAUCCGCUAAGAUAAGAAGUAAAAACGCAAGAAAACUCAAAAAAAAGCUACAAAAUAAUGGCAGGUUCGUAAAUAAUAUUUUUCACAAGUUCCGGUCAGGAAACUGACCAGCAGGCAUGACUCCGCAGAUUUUUAAUAUAAAUUAGGUUUGAAAGGAUAUUUAACAGCCAUAAUAAUAGAAAUAUUUAUUUAAAAAAUUAAUAUAUAUGGAUUUUCUUUUCGUUUAUAGCUUUGACGAUUUUCGUACAAUGGUCUAUAAACUGACACGUGUUUAAUCCCGUAAAUAUUUUACUUGACUCUAGGGAUAACAAAAUUUUAGGCAUAUACAUGUGUCCAUUUUCCUAAAUAAAAGAACUAUACUUUACAAUCAUUACAGCGGUAUUUAUCUCAUCUUUGGAUAGAAUUGUGAAAACCAUUUCAAUCAAUGCAAAUCUAAUUCCAAUUAUUUCGACCUAUAAUGCAACCAUCUUGUUCAGAAUGAUCUUCAAAUUAUCAGGCUACUAUUAAAUAUAUUAUAGCACGGCUGACAAUGUUUUAGAAGUGAGAGAUGAAUAUUGGUAGUUAUUUAAUCUCAUUUUUUCUGGAUCAAAGUUAUUUUCAAACGUUAAAUAUGUUCGUCAAUAUUUUUGAAGAGAAUGAAUUAUGAUAACUGUCUUUUUAUUAUCUACACAUUUCAUAACGGUUCAAAAUUGAUUAAAGUAGCCGAUAUAAAACAGAGCAAGUUUCCAAUGAUAAACUGGAAGUGUAUACUUUCAAAAUUUAAAUAUGAAUAAUAAAAAAUAUUUAGUUUGUGGGAUUAUUUUAUUUAUUUGUAAAAAAAAUAAAUAAUUAUGUAUAAAAUAAAUUCUAAUUUUUAAGGGGCUAUAUACGGCAUCUACCUGGCAGAAAUUUGAUGGAAGCAAACCCCCUACAAGAUCUACCCCUACCCCCCUAAUAAAAUUCCGCCCCCGAAGGCUGCGAUAUUCACAACCACGAUGCUAUAGUGAAAUUAAUAAAAAAGAAUCGUAUAAUAAGCUAGCACUUAUAAACUCACAACAAAAUUUUAUGUAAAUCCUUUCAAGCCUAUUUAGGCUAGAAAAAACAAUUAAUCUCAAUUUUUUGCUAAUAAUCAAUCGGCAACUAAAAUGGUGCUUGGGCUAUUCCAUUAGGAUUGUUCAUUGAAUGAAAAUAAAAUAUAAUUUGGGAAUCUUCAAUAACUUUGGAUGUAUGCUAAUUAUUGAAUUAAAAAAUGUAGUUAAAAUUUGUUAACCUAUCGAAAAUCUUAUUUUUAAUAAUAAUAUUUAAAGUAUUUUGCUAAAAUUUUAAAU